RNAcentral lists this ribosomal RNA (497 nucleotides) under uncultured bacterium. RNAcentral describes it as "partial 16S ribosomal RNA". It matches the Rfam family "Bacterial small subunit ribosomal RNA", at positions 27 to 507 of the family's 1533-position model. The record is from RNAcentral.
GGGGGGGGGGGGGGGGGGGGGGGGGGGGGGGGGGGGGGGGGGGGGGGCGGGGAGGUGGCUGUGCUGGUGUUGGCGGCGGGCGGGGGGGUAACACGUGGAUAACCUACCUAUCAGACUGGGGUAACUUCGGGAAACCGGGGCUACUACCGGAUAAUAUUUUGAGCCGCCUGAUUCCAAAGUGCCAGCCGGUCUUGCUGUCCCUUCUAGCUGGAUCCGCGCUGCAUUAGCUAGUUGGUAAGGUAACGGCUUACCAAGGCAACUAUGCAUAGCCGACCUGAGAGGGUGAUCGGCCACACUGGAACUGAGACACGGUCCAGACUCCUACGGGAGGCAGCAGUAGGGAAUCUUCCGCAAUGGGCGAAAGCCUGACGGAGCAACGCCGCGUGAGUGAUGAAGGUCUUCGGAUCGUAAAACUCUGUUAUUAGGGAAGAACAUAUGUGUAAGUAACUGUGCACAUCUUGACGGUACCUAAUCAGAAAGCCACGGCUAACUACGUG